This 2852-nucleotide long non-coding RNA is filed under the name Mus musculus (house mouse). RNAcentral's name for it is "long non-coding RNA chr13:77857340-77860192". Lineage: Eukaryota; Metazoa; Chordata; Mammalia; Rodentia; Muridae. The record is from RNAcentral.
UUUGGAUAGAUACAUCUAUCAUUAAAAUCUAUCAUUAAGAAAUAAUUAAAGUAGAUAUUUAAGUCUUAUCACCUAAAAGUAUAAAAAAUUUGUAAAAGUUAUGUCUGAUAUAUUCAGAUUCAUCUUUCCACUUUAUAGAGCCAUAGAGGCAUUGCUCCUGUUGGAAUAUUUCACUAAUAUUCAUUACAGUUUGCAGAGUUGUACUUUUUUUAAUUGGAUAUUUUCUUUAUUUACAUUUCAAAUGUUUUCCCUGAUCCUGGUUUCCCCUCCAAAAACCCGCUCCCCCAUUCCUUUUCCCUCUUCCUCCUCACCAGCCCACCUGGCCCUGGCAUUUCCCUACAUUGGGGCAUAGAGCCUUCACAGGACCAAAGUCCUCUCCUCCCUAUGAUAUCCGAUCAGGCCAUCCUCUGCUACAUAUUCAGCUGGAACCAUGAGUCCUACUAUGUAUGCUCUUUGGUUGGUGGUUUAGUCCGUGGGAGCUCUGGGGUAUUGGUUAGUUCAUAUUGUUGUUCCUCUUAUGGGGCUGCAAACCUCUUCAGGUCCUUAGGUCCUUUCUCUAGCUCCCUCAUUGGGGACCCUAUGCUCAGAUCAAUGGAUAACUGUGAGCAUCCACUUCAGUGUUUAUCAGGCACUGGCAGAGCCUCUCAGGAGAGAGCUUUAUCUGGCUCCUUUCAGCAAGCACUUAUUGGCAUCCACAAGAGUAUCUAGGUUUGGUUAUUGUAUAACCAGGUGGGGCAGUCUCUGGAUGGUCAUUUCUUUAGCCUCUUCUCCACACUUUGUCUCUGUAACUUCUUCCUUGGGUAAUUUGUUUCCCCUUUUAAGAAGGAUUGAUGUAUCCAUACUUUGGUCUUACUUCUUCUUGAGUUUUAUGUGUUUUGUGGGAAAAAAAAUGUUCAACCUUCUUAGUCAUCAGGGAAAUGCAAAUCAAAACAGCCUUGAGAUCCCCCCUCAUACCAGUCAGAAUGGCUAUGAUCAAAAACUCAUGUGUCAGCAGAUUCUGGCGAGGAUGUGGAGAAAGAGGAACAAUUCUCCAUUGCUGGUGGUAUUGUAAGCUGAUUCAACCACUCUGGAAAUUAGUGUGGCAGUUCCUCAGAAAACUGGACAUAGUACUACCUGAGGACCUAGCAAUAACUCUCCUGGGCAUAUACCCAGAAGAUGUUCCAACUUGUAAUAUGGACACAUGCUCCACUAUGUUCAUAGCAGCCUUAUUUAUAAUAGCCAGAAGCUGGAAAGAACCCAGAUCUCCCUCAGCAGAGGAAUGGAUACAGAAAAUGUGGUACAUUUACAUAAUGGAGUACUACACAGCUACUAAAAACAAUGAAUUUAUGAAAUUCAUAGGCAAAUGGAUGUAUCUGGAGGAUAUCAUCUUGAGUGUUCACAAAAGAACACACAUGAUAUGCACUCAUUGAUAAGGGGAUAUGAGCUUAGAAGCUUGGAAUACUUGAGUUGUAUUUUCAAAUCUGUAAAAUCUAGCAUUUUUUAACGAGAAAAAAUGAGAGCAACAAUAGAAAUAAAGUCGAAGUCUCAUUUCUGCGUGUGGUUGAGGAUAAGAUACAGAAUUGUGAGGCUUGACAGAUAUUGUGCAUGUUUUUAACCGUCACCUCAAAGAACAUCUCAGUGUGAAAAGUCAAACUCUAAAAUUGCCUCUACUUUCUAUUUAAACAGUUCUUGAGCACUUUCUGGCUCUUAUUUUGGAUAAAUAGCUCUCCAGUGGCAUUGAUGCCCAAGUGUGAUCAUAGCAUUUCUUCCAGAACUCUGCAGAGCUAGUCAAAGGUGCAAAUUUCCUGAAGCCACCUUGAUUUCUAAGUUUAAAUGGAUGUAUAUUGUUAACUCCUCAUAGUUCUUAACUUUUGCUGAACUAAAAGCUGCUUUCCAAUAAGAAAAAAGCAAGGGUUUGCAAUAUAGGACAAAAUGCAAAAGAUUGGCAAUCCCAGGUUUUAGACUAAAAGUGCAGAGUUACUAGGUCUAUGGAGAACUUAAUUUGUGCAGAAAGUUCCUUAUUUGAAUGGAUGGUAGUUAGAUACUAGUGAUCUUUAUUCUUCCCUCCAUUCCUCACCUUUGCUCUCCAACUCCUUCCUUACAGAUCUUCAUUCAGACGUUAGCAAGUUUUCAAUCUAAGUAUCAGAUUGGUGCUUUUCAAUUUUAAGUUAUACAUUUAUAUGUUAACACCUCAACUUAGAUGCAGCUAUCUUUUUACCACCCAAAUUUAGAAAAGUAUUAAAGGAGAAGGUAAAGAUCAGUUUAACUAAUAAAUAAUUUGUAACUAAUAAAUAAUAAAUGUGAGAAUUAGUGGGUCUCUUAUUCAACUGAGGUGUCUUAUAUAUCACCUGAGAUCUAGGCAGACUCACCGGUAGGCCUCCUCGUGAGAAUCUAAGUGUACUAAAGAAGAAUAUGUGCUUUGUAUGGGGAAUUGGCUGCCAAGAGUUCAGUAAAUGGAAAGGAAACAGUUUCCUGACUGAUUCAUAGUAGCUCUGAACUGGGGGCCCAUGGGCCAGGAUGAGGGGGGACUGGAUAAUUAUUAGGCUUUAUGGAGACGAGCUGAUGGCAGUUGUCUUCCCCUAGGUCCCUGUGAGUUGAGGCUCAUAAUUAAAAUCUCAUUUUCAUCCAUCUUCAUACUGUCUAAUACUCAGAAAGGAAUUAAGUGGGGGAGUGUGAAACUAGAGACUCUUACACCACUCUGUAGGAAUCAUUCAUUUUAUAAUCUUUCCUCAUUCUUUAGGUUGUUUUGCCUCAUCUUUCUUCUUUGUACUCUUUUACUUAUUGACAGUAUUUGGCUUAGUUCUCUUAUCAAAAGCAAAUUAUAGAUUUAGUGUAAUCUCAGUCAAAAUCUCCAUGGCAUUCUUUACAGAAAU